Molecule: ribosomal RNA, 128 nt
Filed under: uncultured bacterium
Lineage: Bacteria
Description: partial 16S ribosomal RNA
Source: RNAcentral
CGAUUAACGAAGUUUACAACUCCUAACGCUUCAUCAUUCACGCGGCCUUGCGGCUUCAUGCUUUCCGCCAUUGUGCUGGAUCCCCACUGCUGCCUCCCGUAAGAUUCCCCACUGCUGCCUCCCGUAAG